GACCACAGCCAUAUCACCCUGCAGCCCAAGACUGGUUGCCCACUGAAGCAAAGCAGGGUUGAGCCUGGUCAGUACCUGGAUGGGAGACCUCCUGGGAAAACUAGGUGGCUGUUGGAA
Molecule: ribosomal RNA, 117 nt
Filed under: Sinocyclocheilus rhinocerous
Lineage: Eukaryota; Metazoa; Chordata; Actinopteri; Cypriniformes; Cyprinidae
Source: RNAcentral